CGGAGAGCUUCCACCUUUGCCACUCCUUUUCUAGAAAUACCCACUUGGGCUAUCAUAUUUGCCAACAUUACUAACAAUUGGGGCUACUUUCUUCUUUUAUCAUGGAUGCAUGUUUACUUCAAAACUGGCUGUACUGUGGGCAGCAAUAGCAGUUUCAAGAUAUGUGACAAGAUUGUCGUCGGAUUUCAUAAUAGG
Molecule: long non-coding RNA, 195 nt
Organism: Impatiens glandulifera
Lineage: Eukaryota; Viridiplantae; Streptophyta; Magnoliopsida; Ericales; Balsaminaceae
Exons: 3
Source: RefSeq, a predicted model, not a curated record